AGGAUUUAGCUCAGUGGUAGAGCGCUUGCCUAGCAAGCACAAGGUCCUGGGUUCAGUCCCCAGCUCCUA
Molecule: transfer RNA, 69 nt
Filed under: Rattus norvegicus (Norway rat)
Lineage: Eukaryota; Metazoa; Chordata; Mammalia; Rodentia; Muridae
Rfam family: tRNA
About the family: Transfer RNA (tRNA) molecules are approximately 80 nucleotides in length. Their secondary structure includes four short double-helical elements and three loops (D, anti-codon, and T loops). Further hydrogen bonds mediate the characteristic L-shaped molecular structure. tRNAs have two regions of fundamental functional importance: the anti-codon, which is responsible for specific mRNA codon recognition, and the 3' end, to which the tRNAs corresponding amino acid is attached (by aminoacyl-tRNA synthetases). tRNAs cope with the degeneracy of the genetic code in two manners: having more than one tRNA (with a specific anti-codon) for a particular amino acid; and 'wobble' base-pairing, i.e. permitting non-standard base-pairing at the 3rd anti-codon position.
Source: Rfam by way of RNAcentral